RNAcentral lists this ribosomal RNA (496 nucleotides) under uncultured bacterium. Its description in RNAcentral is "partial 16S ribosomal RNA". It matches the Rfam family "Bacterial small subunit ribosomal RNA", at positions 28 to 506 of the family's 1533-position model. The record is from RNAcentral.
GAUGAACGCUGGCGGCGUGCCUAAUACAUGCAAGUCGAGCGAACAGACGAGGAGCUUGCUCCUCUGACGUUAGCGGCGGACGGGUGAGUAACACGUGGAUAACCUACCUAUAAGACUGGGAUAACUUCGGGAAACCGGAGCUAAUACCGGAUAAUAUAUUGAACCGCAUGGUUCAAUAGUGAAAGACGGUUUUGCUGUCACUUAUAGAUGGAUCCGCGCCGCAUUAGCUAGUUGGUAAGGUAACGGCUUACCAAGGCAACGAUGCGUAGCCGACCUGAGAGGGUGAUCGGCCACAAUGGAAAUGAGACACGGUCCAGACUCCUAAGGGAGGCAGCAGUAGGGAAUCUUCCGCAAUGGGCGAAAGCUUGACGGAGCAACGCCGCGUGAGUGAUGAAGGUCUUCGGAUCGUAAAACUCUGUUAUUAGGGAAGAACAAAUGUGUAAGUAACUAUGCACGUCUGGACGGUACCUAAUCAGAAAGCCACGGCUAACUACGG